Molecule: long non-coding RNA, 3436 nt
Organism: Astyanax mexicanus (Mexican tetra)
Lineage: Eukaryota; Metazoa; Chordata; Actinopteri; Characiformes; Acestrorhamphidae
Exons: 3
Source: RefSeq, a predicted model, not a curated record
AAAAUAUUGAUAUUGCAAUAUGUAGCAUUGUUUAAUUAUCAAUAUGUGGCAUCAAAAAUCAAUAUAUUUAUUGAAAUAUAGGCGCUCGAAACUCCUUAAUAGUUCCCAAACUCCCCCAUUUUGACUUUUCGUCUUGCGAUAUAUCGAGUAUUGCAGAAUCACAGUAUCUCAAUAUUAUUUAGCUAUGCUGAUUAUCCCACCCACUCAGCUACUUAGCUGUGCUCCUCCUAUCACUAGUGACGCCCCAACACCAGGAAGGUGAAGGCUAGCACAUGCCUCCUCCGAUACAUGUGAGGUCAGACUCCGCCUCUUUUUGAACUGCUGCUGAUGCAGCUUUGCCGAGUAGCAUCACAGUGCUAACGUUCAGAGGAAAGCGCAGCGACUCGGUUCUGAUACAUCAGCUCACAGAUGCAGCAUUGUGCUGAUCAACAUCACUCUAAAAGUGAUGAAAGGAAAUCUACCCAUCUAUCCACCCUAUGAGAGGAAGGCCAAUUGUGCUCUCUCAGGGCUCCGGCAGCUGAUGGCGAGCUGCAUGACCGGGAUUCGAAUCAUGAACAGUGAUCUCCCGAUGCUGAUUGCAAUUCUAAAGGAAGAUAAAAGUUACGAGGAACAAUAAAUGAUACACAAAUAAAUUUGACCAAUAUGGGCUGAUAUUUAUUGAGCCACACUUUAGAAUAGAAUUAGCAUCUAAUGCAUGUUUAAUGCACAAGUUGUAGAGGUUCCUAAUGGAGUCCUGCAAUAAUUCGUCCCUAACAGUGACCGAAAGUGUCAUUUUCAUAUGGGUGGAAGGCCACACUGGAGACAACAAUAUAUAUAUAUUUUUUAAGUGCACAGGUCUUAAACAUGACCCUCUGCUCCUUUAUACUUCUGUCUUGGUGAAGACAAGCUAAGAAUCAUAAAUAUCUAAAACACUUCCUCAAUAAUGAUGAUGCUGUUGUUUUGGAACUAUUUAGAAGCACAGAUUUAGCUCAGUAAUAUUCCUGGCCACUUUUUCCACCUUCAUCAUCCAUUAACCAAACCCUGAUGGGUUCAUCAGCUUGCGUCUGCUGCCCCUGACCCCCGACUGUCUGGCUGGACAUGUCCACUGAUGCGACCUGUCAGCAGGUGUUUGUGUACGUGGGUCUGGAUCUGCUGACUCAUGUCUGGGUCUCAAUCUGAGCAGCGUUAUUAUUUUCUGAGCCGUCCAGCAGCAGCGGCCGCCGCGGGGUCUGAGUAGACCUGUUGUGAAGAUGCCUCAUCAGAGGCCGUGUGCUCUGCAGUGGCCUGUCAGACAUCAGACCUGAUUACUGUUGGUGAAAGCUGUGUGUGUGAGUGUGAGAGUAGUGAGGUCGAAUUCAGGGCAGGACACAGCAGAGGAUGAUGACUUAAUGAUUUGCAUGGUAGCUGAUCACACACUCCACAAGAUACAGUCAGUGUUUCUAAUGAAAUGGCUGUUGAGUAAAAGAUUCAGGUGUUACUGAUAAAGCCAAUCAGUGGAAAGCAGAGGUAGGUGUUUCUGAUAAAGUGGCCAGUGUAAUGGUAGUAGUGACCAGGCAGUAGAAAGAGAAGGUAUGUGGUUCUAAUAAAGUGGGCAAACGGUGAAAGUACAUAAAUAGUGUUUCUAAUAAAGUGGCCAGUCAGUGGAAAGAGGUGUUUCUAAUAAAGUGACCAAUGAGUGGACAUAUACGUUAGAUGUUUCUAAUAAAGUGGCCAGUCAGUGGAAAGAGAAGUUAAGUGUUUCAAAUAAAUUGGCCAAUGAGUUGCAGUCAUAGUUAGGGGUUUCUAAUAAAGUGGCCAGCCAGUGAAAAAAAAGAAGGUUAAUAUUUCUAAUAAAGUGGCCAGUGAGAGGUAUUAGAAGCUAGAUGUUUCUAAUAAAUUGGCCAGCCAGUGGAAAGAGACUGUAAGUGUUUCAAAUAAAGUGGCCAAUGAGUGGAAGCACAAGGUGGUGGAUGUAUCUAAUAAAUUGGCCAAUCAGUGAAGGUAAAGGGAUAUUGUUUCUAAUAAAGCAGCCAAUCAGUGAAAGUAGAGGAAUGGUGUUUCUAAUAAAGUGGCCAGCCAGUGGAAAGAGGUGUUUCUAAUAAAGUGGCCAAACAGUGAAAGUGGAGAGAUGGUGUUUCUAAUAAAGUGGCCAGCCAGUGGAAAAAGAACUGUAAGUGUUUCUAAUAAAGUGGCCAAACAAAAAUAGUACAAUGGUUGAUGUUUCUAACAAAUUGGCCAGGCAGUGGAAGGAGAAGGUGGGGGUUUCUAAUAAAGUGGCCAGUAAGUGGAAAGAGGUGUUUCUAAAAAAAUAUGAUGAAUGAGUGGCAGUAAAAGUUAGGGGUUUCUAAUAAAGUGGCCAAACAGUGAAAGUACAUAAAUAGUGUUUCAAAUAAAGUGGCCAGCCAGUGGAAAGAGGUGUUUCUAAUAAAGUGGCCAGCCAGUGAAAGUAGAGGGAUGGUGUUUCUAAUAAAGUGGCCAAACAGUGACAGUAGAGGGAUGGUGUUUCUAAUAAAGUGGCCAGCAAAUGGAAACAGAAAGGGGGUGUUUCUAAUAAAGUGGCCAGGCAGUGGAAAGAAGUGUUUCUAAUAAAGUGGCCAGGCAAUGGAAAGAGGUGUUUCUAAUAAAGUGGCCAGCAAAUGGAAACAGAAAGGGGGUGUUUCUAAUAAAGUGGCCAGGCAGUGGAAAGAAGUGUUUCUAAUAAAGUGGCCAGUCAGUGGAAAGAGGUGUUUCUAAUAAAGUGGCCAGUCAGUGGAAAGAGGUGUUUCUAAUAAAGUGGCCAGUCAGUGGAAAGAGGUGUUUUAAUAAAGUGGCCAGUGAGUGGGGGUAAAAGAUAAAUGUUGGUGUUUCUAAUAAAGUGGCCAGUGAGUGGGGGUAAAAGAUAAAUGUUGGUGUUUCUAAUAAAGUGGCCAGGGAGUGAAAGUAGAGGUGAGCUGUGUAUAAUACAGAACCUGCAUGGUAUCAGGUGUACAGUGAUGGCAGCAUUAUUACAGGACAUAUUGGAAUCAUGGUUCUUCUCUCUCCAGGCUCAGGUGGGUGUGUCUUCAUGGCUGCAUACCUGCUGAUGUCUUUCUCGCCCUGAGGCUCCCUGAUCCGCUCUGCUCUGGCAUGAUAUACAGUAUAUAAUAAUUAUAUUUUAUUCUCAGGUCUUCCUGCAGAGCCGGGUCUAAUCACAGCGUUUGUCUCAUGACCUUUAGGUUGUCGUCAAAGCAAACAUCCCUGCUCUGAAUGGCUGCAGAGCGGAGGCUGCUUAUUAACUUCACUUUUCUCAUUUUUCCUGAAUUUAAUAACAUAUCUGAGCUUGGGGUUCAUAUUAUAUCGUCUAUUUUAUUCAUAACAGCAUCCCUAAUUUUCCUUCUUUCCUUUCUGUGCAUCCCUGUAUCUGAUCCUCCGUUCCGGACUUGCCCUUCCCUGGAGCUCCUUCCUCCAAACCACCAGAUCAGCUGUAAUUGAGUGUGAACAUGAUAUUAACUCUCAUUUU